CUACGGGUUGCUGCGUGGGGAAUAUUGGGCAAUGGGCGCAAGCCUGACCCAGCAACGCCGCGUGAGGGAAGAAGGUUUUCGGAUUGUAAACCUCUGUCCUUGGGGACGAAGAAGUGACGGUACCCAAGGAGGAAGCUCCGGCUAACUACGUGCCAGCAGCCGCGGUAAUACGUAGGGAGCAAGCGUUGUCCGGAAUUACUGGGCGUAAAGGGUGCGUCGGCGGCAUAUUAAGUCAGGUGUGAAAUACUCGGGCUCAACCCGGGGGCUGCAUUCGAAACUGAUAUGCUUGAGUGUGAGAGAGGAAAGUGGAAUUCCUAGUGUAGCGGUGGAAUGCGUAGAUAUUAGGAGGAACACCAGUGGCGAAGGCGACUUUCUGGCUCAUAACUGACGCUGAGGCACGAAAGCGUGGGGAGCAAACAGGAUUAGAUACCCGAGUAGUC
Molecule: ribosomal RNA, 440 nt
Filed under: uncultured bacterium
Lineage: Bacteria
Description: partial 16S ribosomal RNA
Rfam family: Bacterial small subunit ribosomal RNA
Source: RNAcentral